UCUGCAUCCUGCGUCGGGACCACCACUGU
RNAcentral lists this non-coding RNA (29 nucleotides) under Homo sapiens (human). Lineage: Eukaryota; Metazoa; Chordata; Mammalia; Primates; Hominidae. The record is from RNAcentral.